RNAcentral lists this transfer RNA (104 nucleotides) under Pseudoalteromonas sp. K222D. RNAcentral describes it as "tRNA-OTHER". It matches the Rfam family "tRNA". Rfam says of the family: Transfer RNA (tRNA) molecules are approximately 80 nucleotides in length. Their secondary structure includes four short double-helical elements and three loops (D, anti-codon, and T loops). The record is from RNAcentral. Lineage: Bacteria; Pseudomonadati; Pseudomonadota; Gammaproteobacteria; Alteromonadales; Pseudoalteromonadaceae.
GGCUCACUAGCAUAAUUGGUAGUGCAUCGUCCUUCAAGAGAGUCUUCUAAAGAGGGCCCUCUUGAAGGCGAAAGUCCCUAGUUCGAGUCUGGGGUGAGUCACCA